AUUAAUGGUUGUGGUAACAUUCACCUUCAACCUUCAUUUCCUUUAAAAAAUGUGCUUCAUGUUCCCAAACUAUCCAAUAACCUCUUGUCUAUUCAAAAGAUUACCCAAGAUUUAAAUUGUGCAGUGGUAUUUUUCCCUUCCCAUUGUGUUUUUCAGGAUCUUGCCACGGGGAAGACUAUUGGAAUUGCUAAAGAGCAAGGCGGGUUAUAUUAUUUACAACAUGAAGAAAGUAAAAAGGGUGCUAGACUACAGGCACACACUUCUAAUUUUCAGCAAGGUCGUGAAUCUUGGUCAUCCUCUCAGAUAUGGCUUCAACACAGACGUCUUGGUCAUCCUCCAUUUAGUACCCUAAAGUCCUUAUUUCCUGUUUUAUUUACAAAAGUGUCUGCUGAGUCAUUUCAUUGUGAUGUUUGUCAGUUUGCUAAACACCAUCGGACAACUUUUCCUCCCAAUGGUAAUAAAAGUUCUAAACCUUUUGAUCUUAUUCAUUCAGAUGUAUGGGGACCUUCACCUAUUCCUAAUAUCUCGGGUGCAAAAUGGUUUGUUUCAUUUAUUGAUGAUUGUACUCGGGUUACUUGGAUAUUCCUCAUGAAAGAUAAGUCUGAAGUUUUUCACUUGUUUGUAAAGUUUUAUAGAAUGAUUCAAACACAAUUUGAAAGUCCAAUUAAGAGAUUGCGUUCUGAUAAUGGAAGAGAAUAUGUGAACCAAAACCUUUCCAAGUUCCUUGAGGAAAAUGGAGUUGUUCAUGAAUUAACCUGUGUGGACACUCCUCAACAAAAUGGGGUUGCUGAAAGGAAAAAUCGUCAUCUCCUUGAGGUUACUCGAGCUUUACUUUUCCAAACAUCUGUUCCUAGAUCUUACUGGGGGAAGCAGUCCUGACUGCCACUUAUUUGAUUAAUAGAUUACCCUCUGGGGUUUUAGAGGGUGUUACUCCUAUUCAGGUUAUGACCACAUUCUAUCCUUCUAUUCCCAUGUUGAAUAGUCUUUAGAAUCGUGUAUUUGGUUGUCCUGCUUUUGUCCAUGUUCAUAGUCCUUAUCGGGGUAAGUUAGAUCCUCGUGCCAUCAAAUGUGUCUUCAUCGGUUAUGCCCCCAACAAAAAGGGAUACAAAUGUUAUCAUCCUCAAAGUCGCAAAGUGUAUAUUUCCAAAGAUGUCACCUUCCAUGAAACAGAAUCUUUCUUUCCUAAUUCUCAGCUUCAGGGGGAGAGUAUUCAAGAAGCUGAGGACCUUGAGUUGCCACCUUUUCCUUUGUUGCAGGAUUUCGUUCUUAGGGAGGAUGACAAAGACCCUGCACCAACAUCAUUACCAGAGAAGAAUAAUGAAGACAAAUAUUUUGGAAAACAAUAUUAGCGAAGGCAACAAGAACCCGUCCUGGUCGAACAACAACUUCAAUUGUCUGAACCGGAGGUAAGAACUCAUACCAGUGAGACUCUUGAGGACACCUUAAAUACUGCUUUUGAACCUAACCUAAAUGAUUUACCUAUUACCUUGAGAAAAGAAAAAAGAUCUUGUGCCAAAUAUCCUAUAUCCCAAUUUGUGUCUACAGAAAAACUUUCUAUGCAGCACCAGAGUUUUCUUUCAGCUAUUGAUUCUAUCAAAAUCCCUUCAUCGGUACAAGAAGCCUUAAAAGAUGAGAACUGGAUUCGAGCCAUGAAUGAAGAAAUGAGCGCAUUAGAAAGGAAUGAGACUUGGGAGAUUGUAGAGAGACCAAAAGAUAAGAAAGCAGUGGGUUGUAGGUGGAUAUACACAGUUAAGUAUAAGUCUGAUGGCACACUCGAUCGGUAUAAAGCAAGGNNNNNNNNNNNNNNNNNNNNNNNNNNNNNNNNNNNNNNNNNNNNNNNNNNNNNNNNNNNNNNNNNNNNNNNNNNNNNNNNNNNNNNNNNNNNNNNNNNNNNNNNNNNNNNNNNNNNNNNNNNNNNNNNNNNNNNNNNNNNNNNNNNNNNNNNNNNNNNNNNNNNNNNNNNNNNNNNNNNNNNNNNNNNNNNNNNNNNNNNNNNNNNNNNNNNNNNNNNNNNNNNNNNNNNNNNNNNNNNNNNNNNNNNNNNNNNNNNNNNNNNNNNNNNNNNNNNNNNNNNNNNNNNNNNNNNNNNNNNNNNNNNNNNNNNNNNNNNNNNNNNNNNNNNNNNNNNNNNNNNNNNGUUUAUAAAACAUUCUCAGAAUGGUAAACUCACUCUACUUUUGGUCUAUGUAGAUGAUAUGAUUAUUACAGGUGAUGAUGAGAUUGAAAAACAAAAUUUGAGGGAGAGACUAGCUGCUCAAUUUGAAAUGAAGGAUCUUGGGAAGCUGAAGUACUUCCUUGGGAUAGAGGUUGCUUACUCGAGACAGGGCAUCUUUAUUUCUCAAAGGAAAUACAUCCUUGAUCUUCUCAAAGAGAUUGGUAAGUUGUAAGCCCACUGGAGUGCCAAUAGAGCAAAAUCAUAGGAUUGGGAAUGAUGAGGAAAACCCAAAAGUGGAGAAGACACAAUAUCAAAGACUUGUGGGAAAACUCAUUUAUCUUUCACACACUAGGCCAGAUAUAGCCUAUGCAGUUAGUGUGGUUAGUCAAUUUAUGCAUGAUCCACGAGAAAGACACUUGCAGGCAGUAGAUAAAAUUAUUCAGUACUUAAAAGCCUCUCCAGGAAAAGGAUUGCUAUUCAAAAAGGGGGAAAACUUAUCCAUGAAAGUAUAUACUGAUGCUGACUAUGCAGGAUCGAUUGUUGAUAGGAGAUCCACCACAGGCUACUGCAUGUUCUUGGGUGGAAAUCAUCAAGUGCAGAGACAGAAUUUAGAGCCAUGGCUCAAGGGGUGUGUGAACUCUUAUGGAUGAAGAUCAUACUUGAUGACCUAAAAAUAAAAUAUGAAGCUCCUAUGGGUUUGGCAUGUGAUAAUAAGUCCGCUAUCAGUAUUGCACACAAUCCGGUUCAACAUGAUCGAACAAAGCACGUAGAGAUAGACCGACACUUUAUUAAAGAGAAGUUGGAUUAUGGUCUUAUAGCCACUGAGUACAUCCCUUCAAGACUCCAAUUGGCAAAUAUGUUUACUAAGGGACUUUCCACAAAACAAUUCGAAGAUCUUACUUGCAAGUUGAGAAUGAUAGAUAUACAUUCACCAACUUGAGGGGGAGUGUUGCAUAAUCAGGAGAAUUAUGUUAUAAUUAAGUGCAGAUUCCAUUUUAUAUUUAUUAGGACAGAUUUGUUAGUGAUUUGAUUUUAUUUGAUUUGUACAGCUUUAAACACUCAUUAUUUAUGGCUUUCAUUACCUAUUAUUUCUUUCUUUAAUUAGGUUGUAAAAUAGUCUAUAAAUAGAAACUGUAAUCACAUUUGUAAGAUAUAUCAGAAAUAUAUUUCAUCUAUUUUUUUCCACUCUAUUAUUUCUUGCUUUCAAUACCUAGUAUUUCUUUCCUCUUAAUUAGGUUGUAAAUAGUUUAUAAAUUGAUAUUGUAAUCGCAUUUGUAAAGAGAUCUCAGAAAUACAUUUCAUCUACAGAAAUAAAUGUCAAACACAAAUUCCAAAAGCCUCCUCUUUGAUUGUUGUUGUUAUAAAAACCAAUUGGAGAGAUGCAUUUUUAUCUUCCUCAGCUACAAGUCCAGAGCUUUAUAUUGUUUGAUUUUAAAAAUUGAUUUGAGCUGUCAUGGGUAUGAUGCAGGCUCAAGGCUGGAAAGCAAAGUCAAAAACUUUGGAAGAAGUUCUGGAAUCAACUUCUAAAAUGGAACCAAAACUUAUUGGCUAUGAUGAAACUCCCAUUGAUGUCACAGAUACCAAUACUGCCAAGCAUAUAAUGGUAACUGCAGACUUGUACAGCAAAUCAAACCCAGAAAUUCUCAUCCAAGAUACAGCUGAAAUAUGUUCUCCAUGUGUGAAACCUGUUGGCCAACGGCUUCAAUCUUCUACGAGGGGAAAGCUCAGUGAAAUAUUUGAAAAUCAUUGCGGCAGUGACUCAUCAGGGGCAGGUAGUGUAAAAUCAUAGUAUUCACACAUUGACCCCAUGUCUUGUUAAUCCUAAAUAUUUUUUAUAUUCUUUGCAAAAAGGAACGGCAAGAUCACGACUGUAUGAAUUGUGUGCUUCUUAUUGUUGGAAACCCCCUUCAUUUGAAUGCUGCAAAGAAGAGGGACCAGAUCACCUCAAACAGUGAGUUCCUUGUGAUUUUUUUGUUUACCCACAAAUUAUUUUAGCCUGUGAUGAAACUGGGAUAGUGAUAGGACAUUCGAUGUUUAAAUUGCAACAUCCUCCUCCCUAAUUUUCAUAUACCCUUCUCCUAAUUUUCACUGUUGGGAUAGUGAUAGGUCUUGAGAAGUAGCUAUCAACUAUAACUAGAACCAUAGAUAAGACAUCAGAAAAAUAUUCCUAACAAUACCUUAAAUUAUUGUUCCAUUUUUAGAUUCACAUGCAAGGUGACCCUGGAGAUAGAAGAGGCCCUUGAUACGAUUUUAGAGUUUGUUGGGGAACCUCAGUCAAAAAAGAAAGAUGCUGCAGAGAGUGCAGCUGAGGGUGCAUGUUGGUACCUGCAACAGGAAGGCUACUUGCGUAGUGAUAGUUGACAUGUUGCAGAACAACUAUCAUGUCGCAUAAGUCUGAGGUCAUUUCAUUCUAGUUAGUGUCUUCAUUAUUGAGGGUAUCAUUUCCAAUUUCUGAAUGCUCUCAUUGUUUAGGUAAUCAAAAUUAUAUUAUAUAUUAUAUAUGUAUUGUUGUAGUCUGAUAGUUACAUCUUUAACUUGUAUGUAAACUGCACCUCAAAUAUAGUAGUGAAUUUUUAGCAAUCUAGAAUAUUAAUUAUAGUUUCUCGGUUAUAAAUUGUACGUUGUGGGAGACCAAAUGUAACCUUCCACAUUAUAUAUUCCCUAGUUAGAAGAGAAAACGAUCUUAAUUAUACAAUUCAGGAAAGACAUGCCAUUCAUUGCACACAAUAUCCAUUCCACCCUGUCACUUUUAAUAUUACCAUUUCUCGUGAUUGUGAAAUAUGACUAGUGUGAUUAGUAUGUGUUUUUCUUUUAACUUUUAAGUGUUUAUUUAUAUUUCAAUUAAGAAAUUAAGUUGAGUUCAACUUAACUCAAGUUAACAAAAAAAUUAUCAUAAUUUAUAAGUCAACUGAAAAUUGAAUUGAAUUUAGUUUCAAACUGAAUCCAAAAAAAAGUGUGAAUACAUGUUGAAAUAACGGCCAAUCGAAAUAUUUGCUUUGUUUAUCAUUCAAAUAGACCGUUAUUCCAACAUGUUGAAAUAACGGCCAAUUUGUCUAUAAGAGUGUAACUUUACAUAGACCAAGUCCCCAAUUGAAACUGUCAGUCCUAUGUUUGUCUGUUGUCUGCUUCAUUCUAUCUUGAACUCUUCUUAAAUGGAACUUGGGAACUUUUAACAUUUCUUCUCUUUUCACUACAAUUCUAUCUACUGAAUCUAGCUUGGAUUUCCCUAGUAAGUAAGGCAAAUAAAGAGAAGGAGGUUUUCCAUAAACAACUUCAUAAGGAGUGGCUUGUAUAGAAGUAUGGAAGGUAGUGUUGUACCACCAUUCAGCCAAGGGAAGCCAUUUGUACCAUUGUUACCUUAAGUACAUUUUAAGGCAUCUGUUGUUGACAACCUCAGAAUGUUCAUCAAUCUGAGGUGCUAUGAUGUAGACAACUGAAUCUGAACCCCUUGUAAACUCAUGGAUUCUCUCCAAAAUUGGCUCGUGAAGACAACAUCUCUUUCACUAGUGAUAGGAUUUGGAAACCCGUGUAAUAUGAAGAUAUUAUCUAUGAAAGACUGGGCUACUUCAACAGCUGUAUAUGGAUGAGAUAAGCCAUGAAAUGUGCAGCUUUACUCAAUCUAUCUACAACCACAAAAAUAACCUUUUUGCCAUAAGAGAUUGGUAAUCCCUUGUGAUGUGCUACCACACAUGACCAGGGAUUGGGAGAUGCUGUACCAGACCAGGGGAAGCUGCAUUAUCAUACUUAACACUGUUGGCAAGUGGCACAUUGUUGAACAAACAGUUGAACAUCCUUAUGCAUUCCCUUCCAAUAUACUACAACUCUGAGACGUCCUCCAAUUGCAGAAGCAUGUAUCCCAAUGGAGGAUAUCUUUUCUUAAGGUCUGAUCACUCAUUAUAACCAAUCUCCCCUUCCUUCGUAAUUCACCAUUAACCCAAGUGUGAUAUUUAUAAGAUGAAGGAUCAUUCACAAUCUCACAAAUCAGUCUCUGUUGGACAAGAUCUGAGGACCAUAACUACUGGAUUUUGGUCAAUAAAUCAGCUGUAAUUAACAAUUAACUAAAGCAUGACAUUCUACUAAAUCCAAUCUAGAGAGUGCAUUGUCCACUACAUACUCUUUCCUUUGUUUGUACUCAAUAGAAAAAUCAAAUUCCAGGAGUUAACUAACCAUUUUUGUUGAAAAACCAUGGAUAACCUUUGGUCCAAUAUGUAUCUCAGGUUGCUGUGAUUUAUUAUAAUAAUGAAGUGUAUUUAACAAGUAAUGUCUCCAUUUCUAGACUGCAAACACGACGACAAUGAGCUCUUUUUCAUAUGUUGAGAGGGUCUGUUGUUGUUUAUUGAGGGAACUACUUAUAUCAGCAAUAGGAGGGUUCUCUUGCAUUAACAUUGCUCCAAUGCCAAAACCUGAAUCCACUUCAAUUACAAACUUUUUACUGAAAUUGAGUAAUGCUAACACAAGGAUAGAAUACAACAAUUGCUUGAGAUGCUGGAAGGCUAAUUUGGCCUCAUGUGUUCAAGAAAAUUAUCCUCUUUAUGGACAAACCUUCUAUAAUAGCCAACUAACCCAAGGAAGCCUGAGUUGUUUUACUGAUUGAGGCAGUGGCCAAUUAACCGUAGCUUCUAUCUUAGCAGGAUCAUUGGAAACACCAUCCCCACUUAUGAAAUGACCUAGGUAUUCUACCUUUCCAACAACAAAGUGACAUUUCGAUCUUUUUUAGCAAACAAUGAAGUAAAUGUAUCACAUGAUCAUAUAAAGACUUACUACAAAUGAGUAUAUCGUAAAAAACACACCAGGAACUUCAUCAAAAUUUGCUUGAAAAUGUCAUUCUUAAGGCCUUGAAAAGUGCCAGGAGCAUUUGUAAUUCUAAAUGGCAUGACCAAAUACUCGUAGUGGCCUCCAUGUGUCCUAAAUGUUGUCUUACAUCACAAUUUGCCAUUCUUACUUGAUUAUAACCAACUCUCAAAUCUAUUUUUGAAAACAUUGUAGAAUAUUGCAACUCAACUAAUAAGUCAUUCACCAAAGAAAUAGGAAAUUUAUUCUUGAUUGUAGCUUUAUUCAAAUCUCUAUAAUCCGCAAACAAUCUCCAAGAACUGUCUUUCUUUCCAACCAACACUACCGGACUCGAACUUGCAUAAGGGCUGGUGAUGUGUUGUAUAACUCUAGUCUUUAAAUAUUCCUGAAUCAAACCCUCUAUUGUGUCCUUCUGUUGCUUUGCAUACCUGUAGGGUGUGCACAGAAUUAGCUCCCAAUGGGAUUAUGUGAUCAUGAUUAGGCCUAGAAGGAGGAAGUUGUGUGGGCUCAUGCAAAAUGACUUGUGGAAAUAGCUGGUUAAGUAGCAUGUGUAGUCAUAAAUUGAAGCAAAUAAUUAUCUUCAUAACAUACUUGAAGCAUAGUAAGUUGUACUCCUUCAUACAUAGUUCUAUUUACUUGCUACCUUUAAUAGUACGAAGGCUAUUGGAGGAUGACCCUUGAAGGAGAUGUCUUCUGCCUUGUACCAUAAACUCCAUUGUCAAUUUAUCAAAAUUCCAAGUAAUGUUACCCAAUGUAACCAACCAUUCUAUGCCAGGCACGAAAUCACAACAACCUAAAUGUAUAAGCAGCAUAUAAAUGAAAGUAGUAUGUUGGAUUGUCCAUGAAAAAUCCUUUACUACAGAAGAAAUAUGCAAUUUAGUACCAUUUGCAACUAUCACAUUCAAAGGAUCCAACCUCACAAUCUUGCAACCAAAUUUCUUGGCUACAUUAUUAUUCAAGAAAUUGUGUGUACUUCCACUAUCUAUCGACACAUGAAGAGGCUUCUUUUUAUGAUAACCAGUAAUUCCCAUGGUUCUAAAAUUGGCAACUCCUGUUAAAGCAUUCAUGGAAAUUUGAGGUUCCUUCGUAUCUACUUCUUUAGCUUGUGUAUCACUAUCAAGUGUUGAUACUUCGUCAUCACAAUCAUUAGUUUCUACAACAUGUGUAUGUAAUUUCUUAUGAGUCAAACUAUGAGAUUGAGUAAAAGGCUCAUCACAAAAGUAACAAAGACCAUUAGCUUUUCUUUCAACCAUAUAUGCAGGGGUAAGGUUCUUGGUAAUCUUGGGUGUUAUCUUGAAAUUGUCUACCCCUGAAGUAAUUAGAGAUACCGGUUUUUCUCCGAAUAAGGAUUUUGGAUUAAAAAGAUUUUAUUGUUUAGUGGAAGGAGUGGCUGCCGAAAAUUGACAAUUAGCAGCUUCAUACAUUUUUGUCAAAGUAAAUGCCCUUCUAACAAAAUCUGUUUGAAACAUCCUCACCAACAUUUGAAUGUCUUUCUUUAAUCCUACCAAAAAACAACUCAGUGUGCUCUUCUAAAAGCUGUAGUCUAGUAAUAAUAGCAUCGAAAUCCUCAUGGUAUUUCUCAAUACUAGUUGUUUUUCUCGACUUUAUUAAUUCAACCAUUGGAUCAUCACAUACUGCACCGAAUCUCUCAAUCAACAAUUCACUGUACCCAACCCAAUUAUGAAUAGGCAAAUUACCCGCAGACCUGACGAAUGUCGCAUGCCAUUUAUUACUAUCUUGACAUCAACAUCGUUAGGAGUAUUAUCAAUAGAAAAAUAAUUCUCAGCUUGAUAGAAAAAUAAUGUCAUAUUGCACAUUAUCACCGCAAAAUUUUGGAACUCGAUUCUGGCUACCCUCGUUUCGUAAGAAUAUUGUGGAGUAAAAAAAGCCUUUAAUUUGAUUCUGGUAAGUGUCCCCAGAAUAAGGAUUAUGACCAUCAUCACCUUCUUGAGAAAUUUUGAGCCUUUCUUCAAUGCUGUUCUUCAAAGAUUCAUCCAGCGCCUUUUGAAUGUUCCCCGUAACCUCCAUCAAACGAUCCUCUUAUCUCCUUCAGUGCUGCCUAGCUUCUGCUAUUUUCCGUCAUGGAGAAGGAUGGAUAAAGGAAGGAACAGAUUUUGAUACCAAUUGAUAAGAGAAGAAAUAAUUCUAGGAAUUUAAAAAAUAAAAAUUCAAGAACUAGAUGAAAAUUAGGGAAUCUUGAAUAAGAGGUCCCGAAGAAUUUCAUUGAUAAGAAUUUGUAAACAAAAAAAUGAUUAUCUACUUAUGUAGAACAGACACUAAAGGAGAUAUGUAAAAUCUCUAAAAUGUAAGACACAGGGGACAACGAAACUAUAUAUUAUAUAAUUAUGAAUUAUAUAAAUUGACAAUAAAUAUUUAUAUGUACAAGUAUGUUUCAGAUUAUUUUUUUGAGUAAAAAGAUGUUUUUCAUGACUGGUUUACAAUAAUUUGUUUCUUAGUUUUAUAAUCAUAAUAACAAUUUAUACAAUAAAGUUUGAAUUUUUUGAGAAAAUUAAUGUAUUUUUCUUUUUAAAAAUUGUGUUAGAACCGCACUAUAAUUGUCAAAAAUCUAACAAAUACUUAUUGAAUUUGACACUUCACGGAUACGUGUCCUACAGGUGUCAUACGAGUGUUGAUGUCCAACACGAGUAUCAGACACCGACACGGCAUUUAAGAGGAGUGUCCGAGCUUCAUAGUUAUUUACCCUAAAAAAAGGUGAACUUUUCCCUUUUAUAAUCGAUGUUAAUUAUUAACUUUUCAUUCACAUUCAAUUUUUCAAUUAUUAAUUAAUUAUCAAUACUUUUAUUGUUAUUUAAUUUGUUUUAUGUUUGUUCAUUUAUACAUUUUAAUAUAUAUUUACGAAAUAAUCUUAAUUUUAGAGAUAAUUGUUUACCCUCAAAAUUAUUUCUUUUGUAUAUUGAGAUUUAGCAUGUCUCAAAAUGAUAUCUUUUAUUAACUUUGAUAUUUUCAUCAAUUUUGUGAGUGGUGGUAUUUCUUUUAUAUUAAUAAUAUUAUAUUUUUUCACAAUCCAAAAUUUUGUUAAGUAAACGAGUUCGAUAAGUAGAAUUAAUCUGUCAAUGUUAAUAUUAAAUUUUAUAAUACGACAAUUUAUAAAUAUAUCUUCAGUCACUAUACUUUUUUUUUCUUUCUAAAUUAGUAUACGUUAAUAAUGAUAUAACUUAAUUCAUAUUUGUUUUCUGCUUAUGUUUUGGACAAAUUUCGUCAAUAUAUCAUAGAUUAUAAUUUAUAAUACAAAGAUUCUAAUUACAUCUUUAGUUUUAUUUUAAAAAAUUAUUCAAUAUUUUUCAACCACUUAAAACAAUAGUGUGAAUAUUUUAAUUUUUAAAAUGGUUGGUAAGAUAACCUAUAUUUAAAUAUAUUUUUAACCUUUGAUGUUUGUGACUAUAUUAUUACAAUUUCCCAAUUUUUUCUUCUAAAGACAUGCUAAAAGUGUAGUAAUUAUUUUUUAAAACAAUUAUUUGUUUAAUUUAUUAAGAAACUAUACAUUUCUUUAACUGAUUUUUCUGCCAAACUAAUGAUUUUUUGUAGUUACUUCAGAAGAAAAUGAAAAAUAUAUUUUAAGAUCUGAAUUUUUUCUUUUUGUUUAAUUUAUUAAGUGAUUAAAAGAAUAAUUAUUUAAUUCAUGUACCAAUUAUUAUAAACUGUUAGAUAUACUAAUUUUCAUGUCAUGAUAACUAUAUAUAUAUAUAUUAUUUUAUUAAAAUAUUUAUUUAGAUUAAAGUUACUAACAUCACAUAUUAAAACAAAAGAUUGAGAUAAUAUACUAUAUUGGUUAAGGAGUAAAGAUCAAAUAAGAAUAUUUUUUAUAUUGUUAUAAUUAUAAAUUUUAAAUUAGACAAUCGCGUCUCAUCCUAAUAUUUUAGGAUGGACUUAUGUUUAAUAUUUUUUUUAUUUAAUAUAUAAUACACUAUAUUAUAUAAAUAAUGUAAAUAUUUAUGUCAUGGAAAUAUCUUAAUUUUAAUUAAACGCUAAUAAUACAUAAUGUUUAGGCUCAACCCUAUACAUGAGCCACGUGCGAGCACCAGUGUUACCCGCGAACACUUUCCCGCCAAUAGUUUCCCGCCAAAAGCACCCUUCUUCUUGGUCUCUUUCUAUCUUCACUCUGUCUUUCUCUCUUCAAUCCAACGGAAACCAAACCCUAACGCGCCUCAGAGUUUGAGCGAAGAUGUCUGGGUGGGACGAAGGAGCCGUCUACUACAGCGACCAAGCGCUCGCCGGAGAUGACGGCGCCGGCUCCCGAGGGGAGGCCGGCACCGAUUCGAACCACUCCCUCCUCCAGAAAUUCAAGGAGUUCAUCCGAAACUUCGAGACCGCCAACAACGUCUUCCCUUACAGAGAGAGCCUCCUCCACAACCCUAAGUUCCUUCUCGUCGACAUGGGAGAUCUCGACACCUUCGACUCCGAUCUUCCCGCCAAACUCCGCUCUUCCCCCGCCGAUAUUUUGCCCCUGGUACUCUCAGUUUCUCCAUCUCUCUCCUCAACGCUGUCAUUUCCGAUUCUGACAUUCUUUCUUGCUUUUGUAGUUCGAAACGGCGGCGGCGCAGGUUCUCGUGAGUUUGAAGACCAAGGUUGCAGGAGAUACUGGAGCUAUGGAGGAUCCUAUUCCCGGUGAUGUUCAGAUUUUGCUCACCUCCAAGGAAGAUCCCCUUUCCAUGAGAUCGCUUGGGGUAUGUGGAUUUAGUUUAAUGCAGUUACAGUUUUAAUUUUGUGCUUAUGAUGCUUUUGGUUGAAAUACGGGUAUUUUGUUGUUGUGCAGCGUUGAAUUGGUGGGUAUCAUAAUGUUUUUUUCUUUCCACAGGCUCAGUACAUAUCGAAACUUGUUAAAAUCUCUGGGAUUACUAUUGCUGCCUCCAGGACUAAGGCAAAGGCCACUUAUGUUACCCUGAUAUGUAAAAACUGUAAGAAGGGGAAGCAGGUUCCAUGUCGGCCAGGACUUGGGGGAGCCAUUGUUCCUCGAUCUUGUGAUCAUGUUCCUCAGGUUUUGUUCGUGUUUAUAUUCACUGUCUUUGUUUGUUUGGUGUUUUACGCUUAUGAUUGAUUUACUUACGGACAAGGGGCUUUUGCAGCCUGGAGAAGAGCCUUGCCCAAUUGAUCCCUGGCUUGUGGUCCCUGACAAGAGCAAAUAUGUUGACCAGCAAACUUUGAAGCUGCAGGAAAAUCCAGAGGUAGUGAUAUACAUUUGUUUAAAAAUAAAUUAAAUUCACUCUGAAAUCUAAUCAUAUGCGGUGUUGUGAUCAUUGAAGGACGUUCCAACUGGAGAGCUUCCUAGAAACCUACUUCUCUCUGUUGAUCGUCAUCUGGUUCAGACAGUAGUACCUGGCUCAAGAUUGACAAUCAUGGGAAUUUAUAGUGUCUACCAGGCUUCUAACGCUUCUUCAUCGUGAGAUUCAUCACUCGUUUUUGCUCAUUUAAUUUGUUUCAAUCUCUCAUCUUGAACUGAUGUCUGGCUUGAAAUGUUGUGUUAUAUGCAGCCACAAAGGAGCUGUUGCAGUUAGACAGCCUUAUAUUAGGGUUGUAGGCAUAGAAGAAACAAAUGACACCCAGUCUCGGGGUCCAGCUGCAUUUACACAAGAUGAGGUUAGUGGUGAAACCUGAAACAAUUAUAAAUUGACUGCCUCUUCCCUGCUUUACAUGGCUUGUCAGUUGGCGGGCUCCUGUGCAGCAGCAUACCCCGGACCCUGAGUUUGUGGGGGAAAAUUAUAGAUACUGAAUUCAGUGGGUUCAAAUAUAUAAAAAUAGAGGGGAUAAAAUUCAAAUUAAAUUUUACUUCGUAGUUUUCUGAAACAAUUGCUUUUGAUUUUAAGCACAUAGCCAUGAUAGUUUAGGUCCAUCAAUGGUUCUGUGGUUUGUUUACAGUGUAAAUGAGUAUUAGUGUUUAUGAUUUCCCAACUCUUAUGAUUUAAAGCUUACUUUUCUUUCCUCAUUUUAUGAACCUUGACUUAAAAUUUACUCCUACACAAUAUCAUAGCCCCCUCAAUGAUGAUACUCUCUUUGCAGAUAGAAGAAUUUAAAAAAUUUGCUGCUGAACCUGAUGCAUAUAAAAAUAUCUGCUCCAAAAUUGCUCCAUCCAUAUUUGGUCAUGACGAUGUCAAAAAGGCUGUAGCCUGUCUUCUGUUUGGAGGGUCAAGAAAGGUAUACCAUUGUUUGAGUAUCCAUUUUUUUCAUUCGGGAAUAAUAAAAGUCUAUACACAGCAGCUGAUUAUAUGACCAAUUUAUUUUCAAACAGCAUUUGCCUGAUGGAGUCCGGUUAAGAGGUGACAUCAAUGUAUUGCUUCUGGGGGAUCCAUCUACAGCAAAGUCACAGGUUAGUUAUUAUAUUUUUCCACUGGAUUUGCGUUUUCUGUUUAGUUUUGGUAUUGUAUUAUUAAAAAUUGUUUGUGCCAGUGCUCUGUUGUUUUAUGGUUAAUUUUGAAGGUGGAAGAAUUUUGACAUUCCCAUUGUUAUAGUUUGUGUUUUCUAAUGAUUGUACUGUUGCCUUUUAUAGUUUCUGAAGUUUGUUGAAAAGACUGCUCCUAUUGCUGUUUAUACUUCGGGAAAAGGUUCAUCAGCUGCUGGCCUUACAGCUUCUGUAAUUCGAGAUAGCAGUACGGUAAGUUCUUUCUCUCUUAACAAUGGGAAUUUGUAUCAGAUAGCAAAUUUUCAUUAUACUGGUCCUUAGCUUAUAAUCAUAAGCUUUUUUACCUUCAACUAUCUUGUUUGAGUAGUCUCUGAUUUAUGUUUCAUGUACUUCAGCGUGAGUUUUAUCUUGAAGGAGGAGCCAUGGUCUUGGCUGAUGGAGGUGUUGUAUGCAUUGAUGAGUUUGAUAAAAUGAGACCAGAAGAUAGGUACGUAGUAUUUUGUCAAUUUGUUUCAUAAGUCGUAAUUGGAAGUUUAUGAUGAAACUUUAUAUAUUUUUUUUAUGCAGGGUUGCUAUUCAUGAAGCCAUGGAACAGCAAACCAUAUCCAUAGCCAAAGCGGGAAUAACAACUGUUCUUAAUUCACGGACUUCAGUUCUUGCUGCUGCCAACCCUCCAUCUGGUCGUUAUGAUGAUCUCAAGGUCUACUGUAAACCCUAGUUUAUCUGUUUUCAUUUUGUUGAAAAACAUUGUAGUUGGCACAAGAGACUGAUAGAAGCCUUGAAUGUUUUUGCAGACUGCACAGGAUAACAUUGACUUGCAGACUACCAUUCUUUCUCGGUUUGACUUGAUAUUUAUUGUGAAAGAUGUCAGAAUGUACAGUCAAGACAAGGUAAGGGACUAUUGUGUACUUUUUGUAAUAUAUAUUACGUUGCAACAAUUGAAUGUUCCUGGUUCAGUGACGUCUUGCCAUGUCAAAAUUUUUGUGUUGUGACGGUUAAAACAAAUAUUUUAUCAUGGAUUAUUUUUUUAAUGUUAAUCUAGUGUAAUAUUUAGCAGUUAGCAAGUGUGCGGUGUAGAAUGUCUAGUUUUGCAGAUCAUAUUCUUUACGUAAGGAUUGAUUUGUCCUCAAUUGUGGAUGAUUGGUUUUUUCAGAUAAUUGCUAAUCAUAUCAUAAAGGUCCAUGCAUCGGCUGGACGGGCAGGUGCAUUGAUGGGUGAGAGCAAACCUUCGAAAGAAGAGAAUUGGCUGAAGAGGUAUGCAAUGCUGUUGACUUUUCAAUCGGUUAUUUCAACCAUUUGUUCUUUCAAUCAUUCUAGAAAAUGAGUUUUGACCCUGUUGUUUAAAUAGGUAUUUACAAUACUGUCGAAAUGAAUGCCACCCUCGUCUCUCUGAAUCUGCAACUGCAUUAUUGCAGAAUCAUUAUGUGAAAAUAAGACAGGUACUCAUGAAUAUAUUACCAUUUAGUCUAAAUAAAUUUGUAUUGGUCUUUAAAAUUAAAUGUAGUCACUAGAAGUUGAAGACCCAUUGGGUCUAUUUUCUGUUUCUUUUGAUAUCUUUCCCGAGUUAAUAAUCAAUUGUUAAUAAAUGUUGCCAUAUUUCUCCCGUGAAUGCUGAUUUGAUGUAAUGAAUAUAAUUCACUUAUUUUGUUUUUUGAAAAAAAAUGUUUAUACAGGAUAUGAGGCAACAAGCGAAUGAAACUGGGGAAGCUGCAGCAAUACCAAUAACUGUAAGGCAGCUGGAAGCUAUUGUUAGGUUGAGCGAAGCACUUGCAAAGAUGAAACUGUAAGUAUUGCUAUUAUUCUUUAUUGCACCGGUCCCCUUUAUCCAAAACUCCCGGUAAAAUUUCAUGGAAAAAUAUGACUCAGUGCAUGAAUAGAAUAUUACUAUCUAUGGUGCAAGAAAUUUCAUAAGCAUGUCAUCUAAAUUUGAUUAGUAGUUUUAGCAAUCAGAAGACUUUUCUUCAAAAUUUAUCCUAGAAAGUUUCACAUAAAAAUAGGUCUCAUUUCUUAAAUGGCUUUCCUAAACUUUCUAUAAAUUGGUUGGAUCAAUGGGUUCCAAUUUUAUAGUAGUAUCGGCCAACAAAUUGAAGUGUUAGUGACCUAUGUUUUCGGCUGGGAAAAUAUUCCCAUGAUUCCAUCAUUACAUGUGAUGUUCCCUAACUAUGUUUGACUAGACAAAGUUAAAUUAAUAAUUUAUUUUUCUUUCUUGGAAAUUUAUUUUGUAUAUUCUUUUGAUGAUCCUUGCAUCUUUCUUUUUGACUAAAUGUACCUUGAUUAAUUCUUGCACCAGAUCUCAUCUUGCUACUGAGGAGAAUGUGCAAGAAGCAGUAAGGCUUUUCACCGUGUCCACAAUGGAUGCAGCUAAGUCCGGGAUAAACCAACAAAUAAAUCUUACACCUGAUAUGGCAAAUGAAAUAAAGGUUUGUCUUGUUAUGAGGGCCUUCUUGCUUUUUCCACCUUGCUUCAUAUCCUGAUGGAUUGGUUUAAUUGUGAGCAGCAAGCUGAAACUCAGAUAAAGAGAAGAAUUGGGAUUGGAAACCACUUAUCAGAAAGGAGGCUGGUUGAUGACCUCGGCAGAAUGGGAAUGAAUGAGUCUAUUGUAAGUAUCAAAUAUCCACUUAAAUUAAAGGACGGUGACAUAUCUAUAAACCUGAAUUUUAUUUCAUCACUUGGCUCAAAAUACUAAAUUUAAAACAAACUAAGUUUGACUCAGCGUACAUGCUUUCACCAUCAAUAACAACUGACUAGCCCAGCAGUUAUUUUCUCUGCUGCUGGUAGUUAAUAUUUUAUUUUAGGUAUUCAUUAACGUAACUACGUUUUGCAGGUGAGAAGAGCUCUUAUAAUCAUGCACCAGAGGGAUGAAAUAGAGUACAAGAGAGAAAGACGUGUUGUAUUUAGGAAAGCAUGAUAUAUCUAUUUCUCGACACGAGUUGCUAGUUGUAAGCAGAAUUCAAAGUUAUAUCAAUAUUUAGAGGAAAUUAGAAUGACGUUGAAAUUAAUUAAAUUCUAUCUGUUCUGUUUUCCAAAAGCAGUGAAUAUUUAACGUAUAACGUAAUCUAGUGAACUAGCAUACUCGCUUAUCUGGUCCGGUAUUAGUCAAGCAUAAAUUGAUGAGAUAAAUUAAUGACAAAUCUCAAAUCAAUUCGAUAUUCUUUUACUAUUUAAUUAAAUCUCCUUUUUUAAUUGGCUAAUCCAGACAUUGAAUUAAUAAAAAAUAUUUAAAAAGGCUAAAAUCAUCGUCCAGAACACGUUCAUGACAUCAAUUAUUAGAGUUUAAUUUUUAACAUUAUUAUAAAAUUAUUCAUAUUAUGUUUUCUUCGUUUUAACUACGACCUUUUCUAAUUAAUUCACAGCUAAUAAAGUCGAUUGAUUUAAUAACAUUAAAUGUACUAAUACUUUAUAUUUUUUUUAAAUGCUGAAGACUUGUCAUCUCACUCUUUCUUAUCUAUUUUUUUUAUAUAAUACGUCACAAUUAGAUCUUGAAGUGGUAGGGCUAAAUCUUCUUAAUUUUCAUGCUAGACUCAAAAGGAUCAAAUAUACAAUAUUCACGUAUAAUGUCAACAAAGGUGCUUCAAAAAAUUUCACCUUUAUGAAUUUUGAUAAAAUAAUAGUUUGGUUACUGGAAGAGCUUAAUUUUCUAAUCAUAAUCAAAUGUGGCAUUGGAAGAUAAAAAAAAAAAGUCAGAGGUUAGGAUAGAUCUUAGUUAAAUUAAUAACAGCACUGCCAUGUCCAUAAAGUAGUGAGUUAUAGAAACCAAAAUUAAGAAUUUGAUUAUUGAAAAGGGAAAAAACGGUGUUCGAUUCUUAAUAUAAACAAAAUUUGAUGAAUGUAAAAUAGGUCAAUUCAAAUAUGCAUAUGUUUUGUUAUUUUUUUUAAAGAUCUUUUACUUUUUAUGAAUCUAUAACUAUUAAUAAUGAAGACAUUUUUUUAAAAUUGCUCUUCCUUUUAUUAUAUACCUUUUGUAACAUAGCUUAUGCUUUUAUUACUUAAUAUAAAAUUUAGUAACUAAUAAUGAUUCAUUUUAUAAUCAUUCUUGAAAUAUAUAUAUAUAUAUAUAUACUUAUUAAUAAUAAGAAUAUUUUUUUAACCAUCCUUCCAUAUAUAUAUAUAUAUAUAUAUGAGGUGUCAAUGAUAGUUAAAUCAAGUUAAAAUUUAUUAGGUUUCUCUCUAAAUGAUUUUAUUGAUCCAGACGGGCUACUGUAAGCAAUUUGAAGUAAAAGCUAUUGAAAGAAAGUUGGUGUGAUCAAUGGCAUUUUAUUCAGGCAAAAAAUUCAAAUUGGCUCCAGCUGUGUUAAAAUCUUAAAAUCUGCCUGGUUAGAUUUUAAUAGUGGAGUUUGUUGCUUCUAAAAUUGAACCUUAGGUUCUUGUUAUGACCCCACAAUAUUACUUCACAAAUAUUGCUCUUCUGAUGGUUCGAUGUCACGACUUAAAAAACUGUAUCCAAAAUUAAGUGUGAUGAUAAAUAAUUUAGCAGGAGAUAUAGGGAGAAAAAAAGCAAUUCAGAUUUGGAAACCAUGUUUUAACCUCUAACUAAAUUAUAACCCAACAGCAUAACUAAGGGCAGUUCAAGUAUAUCGCGUGUACAAGUAACACAAUCCACAACUAAUUAUGAUCAGGUAAAGAUUACAAAGUAAAGGAAAUCAUGUCUAGUCAAUUAUAGCUGAUAACUGAUAAUAUAGCACAUGAAAACAAUCUAGAAUCAGAAGCUAUUUUAGCUUUAUAACAUACACAAGAGAAGUCAUAUUGAACAUCCUAGCGUGAUGUCCAGACAUAAACCUGGCCUCCACUUGUAGCUCCUACAAGCAUCCCAACCUCGUAAGAGUUUAUAGCGAAUCUGCAAGGAAUAGCAGAUAUGUGUGGGCUCUCUAAAGUCAUAGCUAUUUUCCUUUGAACGGCUGAGACCACAUCAACCCCUCUACUCAUAUUUCCAAUGAAGAGAUAUUUGUCAUCCCAACCCCAUUUCGCUCUGCAACCGCAAGAUCACGCUCACAAAAGUUAGCUGCUUUUUUUCAUAACAAAUAGGCUACUUAUACGGUAUAUCAAGUUUAAAGUGGCAUCACAAAUUCGUAUUACACACGUUUCAGUUCAUGCGGAAUAAAAAUUCCUUUCUAAGUGAGAAGAGUUGAAGCGUAUUUGAAAUGUAAAAACACACUCUAAAGAAUUUAAAAUCCCAAGGUUUGAUUUGAAAAAUCUUUUUGCAUAAUUGAAAAUGAGAAGUAUAAUAAGUCAACCUUCAGAUACUUCCCCAGAAACCAUACCUGAACGUAGAAAGCCAUCUGCCAGUCUGAUUGAAAUGAGAAAUAACAGCCGCAUCCUCGUAGUUAACUCCACUGUAAAUACCAAUGGUGUUGUCCAAGCUGCAUCAAGGGAUUAUAUUAACCUCCCAGCUAAAUCACAAUUACAUAUAGACCAGGUUCGAUACAAUUGGACAAUAAAGAAAAAAAAUAAAAGAUAAGUAGUGUACUGAAAAAUAAAAGAUUGCACAAUUAAGUUUAAGAACACCCAAGAUAACACGUUUUCAGUAUUGGAAAGUAUUUUCAGAACAAACACCAUACCUUGUAGUUGCAAGGCUACCUCCAGAAGGAGAGAAGUAAGCAGAUUGGACAGAUCUUUUGUGGGUAAAUGUCCUUAAGGCUGUGAGGUUAUUAUCAUUAAUAUAUCUCAAAUCCCAUGUGCACGCAGUUGCAUCAGAGGAACUAGUAGCUACAAUAUGAGGGUUUUCACAGUUGAAAUCUAUCGUGUUAAUCCUACUGUCAUGCAAAUCCCAGUGCGACGAUCGUUUUCCCACCCUGUUAUCCCAAAUAGACAAACCUCCAGAACCCUCGGCAAGAUAUAGGCAGCUAGUCUCAUUUGUUGGUUGAGAAAGAGCAUAUAUUUUUUCAUCACUCUCAAACACCAGAUCAAAGAUUUCCUUCUCAGCAUCCAUUAGCCGAAGAACUCCAUCAUAACAACUUGUGUAUAUCUGCAUAUAAAAUAGAUGACAGCAUCAGACAAUCCCACAAAAGACAAGAUGUAAAACGUAUGAAGUGAUUAGAAUGGGAUAGGGGUAAGAGGUGAUUCCGCAGUUAUUUUCAUCUCUGCUUUCCCUACAACCUAAAAGCCCCUAAGUAGUAUACAUAUGAAAUAAAAAAAUGCUAGAUAAACACUAUUAACUUAACAUGCAUUAUCUGUUUAUGACAAUUACCAAAAGAGUGCAUUUUCCGUACAGGUAAAUGGGCAUAUUUUACUAGCAUUAGAAGACAACUUCCCUAAGUUAAAAGAGUUUGAGUCUCAAGGCAACGAGUAACGGGCAAGAAUUAAAAAAUAAACUUCACAAAUAGACAAUAAUUGUUGCAAAUUCAGACAGAUCAAUAUCAUGGUACCUUGGAAAAACAAUGUGGUUGAAUCAAGAUCCCAGAAAUGGGAGCCUUAUGGGGAUGGUAUAAAUGAACCUCAUUAUCUCCCACAUUCCAAAACGCAAUAUUCCCAUACUUGUUCCCCGCGGCAAGCAUUCUGACACUACUGGAAGGGAAAAACGUGACAUUGGUAAUCCUUCCAGAAGUAACCCGCGCAAUAUUCUCGGGAUCCAAAGACAGAGAUUCCAAAUCAAGGGAAUCCACCACUUUUCCUUUUUGAACACUGUCAUCUUGGGCCAUACCCAUUAGCGAUUCAAUGAAGGAACUAUCAGAGUGAUCGCUUUCACGAACAUUGGCCAUGGAAAGAGGACCCAAACUUACGUCACAAGGUGGUUUUUCUUCUGGAGGAGUGGUAGGGCAUACGGAAUCUCCGUCAAGACCUUGGCAGUCUGGUGGAAUACCCCUGGUUCGGAGGGAGCGUCUGACUCGGAUAACAAUCGGGUUUUCAGUUUUAGGUUUCUUUUCCGAUUUCACGCGGUAGGAUUUGGUUUCAACUCUGGAGAUUUCCAAAAAGAUGGUAAGUUACAGAGAUUUAACAUUGAAAAGAGAAAUAAGAGACAACAGAGAGAAGAGUACCUUUGACGCUUGAAAUUGGAGAGUUGGGUGGCUUUAGAAUGGAGUUUGAGCGCUGCCAUCAUCUCAUCGUUCCGGCGAAUGUUCUCAAGUCGCUUGAGCUCGUAAUCGGUGAGUUUCUCGGAAGCCAUUGAAGAGAGAGAAAAUUAGGGAUUUAGUUCUGUUGUGUUUCUUUACUUCACUGUUGUUACUGUCUUUAUAUAUAAGAGAGGGUUUUGGGCGCCAACUCACUUGGCGGGAAAGUAUAUAAUAUAAUAAAUAAAUACUUUAUUACAUUUUUAAGUCUUUGUUAAUUCAAACCCAUUUUAUUAAAUUUGUUUCGAAUUUUAAGUAAUACUCCAAUAUGAAUCAAAUUAAUUUAUGUUAAGUGGUUUAUUCAUGAGAUAUAAUAUGUGACUCGCAUAUUUCUUCAACUUUAACUAAUCUAUGUGAACUUUUAUAUUAUUAGUAUAUUAUGUAUGAAAAUUUAAAUAUAAUUACAUUUUUUCUUAACUUUUAUUAUUAUUUAGCUUAUGUGAAUCUAUUAUAAUAAAAUAAAUUGUUCACAUAUUUUAAUAUGAGAAUAUAUGUAAUUUAAAAAAAAAUAAUUUAUAAUUUUUCUAUAUAGAAUUUUAUUAGUUUAUUAAGAGACUUAAUUAGUACGACAGAAUGAAUUUAUUCGAUUGACAUGGUAAAAGAAAAUUGAAAAUGUAGUUUUCUUUAGACCGUGAUUCUCUAAACAUUAUUUUAGAUACUGUAACUUUAAUAUAUUUUUUUUUUCAUGAGGAUGUUUAUUUAAAUCAAGUCAUUAAUAAAUAGUUUGAUUGAUAAAACUAAAGUUACAUGCGAUGGGUACUAAUCAAAUUGUCAAGAAAAGGUAUUAAUCUAAAGAGAAUUUCUUUAAAUAACUGUUUUUUUUAUACAAAUUUUUUUCUUAUUCCUUAUUUAGUAUAUUUUAUUUUAUUAUUUCAAUGAAUUAUUUAAAAAUUUAAAUUAAUAUUAAUGGACAAUUUUAUAUGCAAACUAACUCUGUCACUCUUCUCUUAAUUGCUUAUUCCAAGUCAACAAGAAAGAAAGAAAGAAAGAAAGAAAGAAAGAAAGUUCACAUACCAACUAUGAAGCUCAGAUACUCUUUUUAAAUAGCGUGUCGGUGUUGGAUACUCAUAUUGGAUACCGAUACUCGUAUGACACUGGUAGAACAGAUAUCCGUGAAGUGUCAAAUUGAAAAAGUAUUUGUUAGAUUUCUGACAAUUCUAGUACGAUUCUAACAUAAUUUUAAAAAUAAAAAACAUAUUAACUUUCUAAAAACUCAAACUUAUUGUAUAGUGACUAAAUUAUAAACCAUUUUAGGAACUAAAUAAAUUUUUGGUUUCUAAAUUAGUUUCAAUUAUUGUUAAAUGGUUUCUAAAUCGGUAUCUAAUUAGCAACCAAGGUUUUUGCUACCAAAUUUAGAAACUAAAUAAUUGGUAGUUCAAACUUUGGUUGCUAAUUAGAUACCAAUUUAUAAACUAUUUAACAAUAAUAGAGACUAAUUUAGAAACAAUUUUUUUUUAGUUUCUAAUAUGGUCUCUAAUUAGUUACUAUUGCAACUAAUUAUUUUGGUUUUUAAAAAUUGAUUUCUAUUUCAUGAUUUUCUUGUAGUGUAUGUUUUUCAUAGAGUGUAGAAAAAACAAUUUAAUAUAAAAAAUUGACUCAUAAAUAUUAUAAGUAGUUAUAAUAUUUUCAAGAAAAUAGAUUAUAUUACAUAAGAAUUAAUAAGAAUUUGUUUGAUCUCUUCUGUUAGUCAACAUUCAUCAUAUCUUUUAUGUAUUGCAACUACAAAAAUAUAUACGUAAUUCAAUUAUAAUUUACAAUAUAAUUUAGUGUUAGUAAAAGAAAAAUUAUUUUUCAAGGAAGGUGAAUUAGAAUUUUAGAUUCUCAGAUAAAGCAACUUUAUGGUAGAAAUAAAAUAUAGUCAACUUUUUAAGAUUUCAUAUGUGAUAAUUCCAGUUCAAAGAUGGAAGAGAAGAUAAGAUAAUUACAUCCUAAUUUUUUCUAAAUAAUAUAAUUUUUUAUGAUACAUUUUUGUUGUUGUUGAGAAUAAUUGUAAGUCUGUAACCCCUUCCCCACCUCUACUUAUUUUCUUUUUUCUUCUUUUCCUUCUUUCUACUUUUCUUUUAUUCACACUCCAUUUAUUUCAAAUUUUGAUCACACCCCAAAUAGCUAAAGAGUUAGGAAUUAUUUUUAUCCAAUUAGAUUUUCAAAAUAGAGUAAGUUUUUAUUUACUCUAAAUAUUCUCUAUUUUUUUUUUCAUCUUUUUAUAAUUUUGACAUCCAUCUUGGUAGAAUUAGUUGAGAAAAAGUGAUCCUCAACUUGAUUAACCUUAUAUUAAAAUUUAAUUAAGUUUGGAUAUUUUGCUUUAGGUCUUUAAAUUUUUAGUGGUUCUUUUGCUUGAGCAAAAAUUUUUCUUGAAAUAAGGAAUUUGACAUAAGAAAAAUGAAUUAUAUUUUUGUAGAACCUUAGCAGGAAUAAUCUAAAUUAAAGAGUGAUGUGAUCACUUGAUGUUCUAUUUGAUGUUGUGUUGAACAUAUUUUUAAUGUUUGAGUUUGAAUUGGUUUUAAGGUACAACUUUAAAAAUGAAUUUGUAAUAUUGCAAUAGUUGAUUUUUUUUGAUAUUUUUCUCAAGCAAGCCACAAAAAUAACCAUUUACUCAAACUUGUUUUUUAGCACUAUUUUUGCUCAAGCAGAUAAUUUUUUGCUAAAGAAUCCAAUUCAUUGAUAAGACAAGAAGAAAAAAAAAUGAAAAGAAAGAAGUUUUUUUGAAUAUUUUAGCUUGAGCAGGAAUGGAUUAAAUAUCCUUGAUGUAUAGAUUUAUGUGUGGUUUACAUAGUUUUUGAAUAUGUUUAUUGAUUACAAUAAAUUUUGUAAUAAGUGUAUAGUAAAUUUUGGGAGUGUUAUGUUUAUGGUAUUAGAGUUGUUCAUUCUUAGGAUAAUAUGAGGAUAGUGGAUAGGGAUGGCAAUGUAGGUCCGUCUGCUUCGCAUUUUGCCCAUGAAAUGCAAGUCAUGUAGGCCCGUCUCGCGUAAAAUAUGCAGGUUGCUUUUAUUGGCUCGCCUCGCAUGCAAGCUAGCCCAUGAGUCGAUCCACAUAAGAUUUUAUUUUUAAUUAAUGAAAAAUAAUUAAAUAAAUUUUUUGAAUAAAAUUUUGUUUUGUUUUUUAAGUUAAUUUGUUUUUCUUAUUUAGAUGAAUUAGGUAAAUAGUCUCAUAAUAUUAUUCUCAUGACACUUGUAAUAAAAUAUAAAUAAAAAAAAAUAUAAUAAUGUUUUGAUUUUCAAUGAAGUUUGAAUUUUGAUCAUACUAAUAAAUUGACUAAUAAAUAUUUUUUAGAAUAUAUAUUUUUUAAAAGGUAAUACAUGUAGAUAGAUGAUUACUAUUCUAAUUUGAAAAUUGAUAAAAAAUAAUAUACAUAUAUAAUAAUAUUAUAUUUAAAUUUUCUUAUAAAAAGACUAAGAUCUGACUAGUGCAUUUAAUAUUUGAUGAAUAUUGAAAUCUAAACAAUUUAUUCAUUUUAAAAAGAAAGAAAAAUUAUUAUCAAAUUUCGUGAGGGUGUUGUGAAUUAGGGAUUGAUGAUAGUUUCUUCCUGCUCCUCCAUGCCUUUCUUCUUGCAUCCCAUACCUAAGAAAAUACUCUAGUUAUCCUUUGACCUUUUUUGUUGAAUGUUUUAUCUUUAAUUUAAGAAUGUGAAAUUUAGAGACUUCCAAGGUUAUAGAAUCUAGAAGUUAAAAUUUGUAUUUUAGAUUGUACAAUAUUAUAGAUUGUACAAUUCAUAAUAAAAACUUGUAUUACGGAUUAUAGAAUUUGGAAUGGAUAGUUUUUUAAUUUUUGAGAAUAUGAGACUACAAGAAAAAAAAAUAUGGGGGUGCAAAAAAAGUCUAAAUUUUUAAAAUAUGUGGGUUAUGAGCCAGUCUGCCCCGUCUUGCACUUGACCUGUGUGGACUGCGAGUUAUGAGCCUAAGCAAGUUAGCAGGUUGAAGUAGGUCGUCCGCAUUGCGGGUUAUGGGCUAACCUGCCUUUCUUUGUCAUUCCUAGUAGUGGGUUAUUUUUGCAUGUGCAGAUAUUUGUUUAUGUUUACUUUAAAGGUAACUAAAAAAUUUUAGUUUAAAUCAAGAUAAUUUUUUUAUCUUAAUUUUAAAAGUUAAUUACAUUUAAAUAUAUACAAGAUUAUUUUUAUAUAGUGUGUAAUUUGAUAUUGAACAUAUAUUAGUGUAAUAUGUUUUAGUGUAUUAUAUAUUUGUAAAUUUUGAAGUUGUCUUUUAGAUUAAUAAUCUUACAAUAACAAUUGUUUUGGUGUAACAUUUUUAAGUGAAUUUGAGAUAUCUACCUUAAAGGAUCCAAGUAUAAUCUAUUGGAUGAAUUUAAUUUAUAUUAAUUACAAUGAUUUUAAUUUGUGAUUAAUAGAAAGUGAUAUUAUCAAAUUAGAAGAAUAUUCGAAUAAUAGUGAAAGUAGAUACGCAACAUAUAAUCAAUAUACAUGCUUCAAGAAGAAAUGUUAGAGUCACCUUUCAAGAUAGAAGUAAAAAUUUGAACUUAAUGCUUAAAUGAGACUAGUGUCAAUAAAAUGACUCAUAUUUGUUGAAGCAAGUGGUGUUCAAGCUUUGAAGAAUCCAAAAUCCUUUGAAGGUUGAUGAUGGCUGGCUGUGCUUGCCGUUGUUGUGUUGUCUUUUAGAUAGGAUAUGUGGUAGAUUUUAAUAUGUAAUCCACUCUUGAUUGAAUCCAAAGCAUAAGCAAUCUCAAUCUUUUAAAAGAAAAGUGUUUUUCAAACUAAGUGAAAAACAACCUGUUGUUUUGUCGAAACAACCGAUUGUUUUAUACUUAGGUGUUUUUAGAAAAGGUUGAAAACUAUUUUUAUAGUUGACUUGCUGUCAAAACCAAAACAACCGAUUGAUUCGAGGAAACAACCGAUUGUUUGUUUUGGUACCAUAACAGAAAAAUGGUUUGUGCUUUGACUGAGCAUUAAAUGUUUUUCCAACUGUUUACGCUCCAGUUUUUAAUGUUUUGACCAAUCUUUAAAUGCAAUUAAUAGUUUGUUAAGAUUUGAUAACAAACAAACAACUUUGUUUUACAAAUAGAAAAACAUAUUUGGGUUUUUCACAAUUAACUGAUUUUGAAAGACUUGAGAUUGCUUAGAGAUUGAGUUUGAUCAAAGUGUGAGCUAUGAUUUUUUGCUUGUAUUGAUUUCAGAUUUGUUCUGUAACAAGUGUAAUCCUUGUAUCUGUUGAAAGAAACCUUGUGUGUUUGUUGAGAAGUGUUGUGUGUUCUUGAGGGGAUCAAGAUCAACAUUCUUAGUGUUGGUGUGUUGACCAAGAGAAGUGUGUGUCUUGAGGGGAUCAAGGUCACUUCUUUGGUUGUGGUGUAAGUAAUCUAGGUUUGAUUGCUUAGUGGAAUUCCUCAGUGGUUUCUGAGAAGACUGGAUGUAGCUCUGGAUUUAGAGUGAAUCAGUAUAAAUCUCUGUAUGCAUUUUCUCUAUCCCUUAACUCUUUAAAUUCAGUUUUUAUAUUUGUAAACUGUUAUAAACAACCGAUUGUUUCUGCGAAACAACCGAUUGUUUUUCUGGUGCUGGUUUUUUUGCUUUGUGUUUUGGCAAACUGAUUUCCUUAUCAAUUGUUUCUCGAAGUAAUUUCAUUAUUGGCUUAAAAGUUUGUGAAAACCCUCUUUAAACCAUUCACUCCCUCUAGUUUAAAGUCAUAACAAUAUUGAGUCGUAAAUUUAAAAGUAAAUUAGAGACUUGAAUAGAGAUAGCACUUUAUGUAUCCAUGAGGAGCAUAAAUGUUGUCAGCAAAUAAGAAAGUUGAGGGAUCUAAAUUAUGUAUAGAUUGUCAAAAGUUAAAAGAUGUUGAAAAAUGAUAGUUAGAUACAUAAAGUUGCAUGAAACAUCAACGUUUUCCAUAUAAAUAUUAAACUUGGGUGUCUACAAUUUAAGUAAAAAAUAAAAAUGUAUAUAAUUGUUAUAAAUUUAUAUACAAUUGUUAUCAAUAUGUGACUAUUUGAUGUUAUGAGAGUUCUAAUUCAAAAAAUUCAUGAAUAUGAUAUUUCAUACCUUCUUGGGUAAGUUUAUUGUAAUUUAUAUAUAGAUGAUAUGUCUAUUUAUGCUGCACUUUGAAAUACAUAGUUGAUGUAGAUGACAUGUAUGUUUAUCUUCUACUUUGGAGGUGCAUGAGGAACACCUAGGGGUCCACUAAAAUACAAUGAUUUAGCUUUAUGCAUGAAUAGAUUAAGGCAUGAUUUUCUAAUAUUGAAUUAGUAAUAAACUAGUUUAACAAUAAAGGUAACUUUUGACACACAAAACUUUUUAAAUGUAAUGUAUCAUAUCAUAGGUUGAGUAAUGUGUCAAAACAAGAAAUGAAGAAUAUUUAUAAGAAUCUAAAAAUCCAUUAGACAGAUUGCUUUACUUGUGACAUAACGAUGGUAGUAGUGGCACUGCCUUGAAGACCUAAAGGCAUUGCUUUUAUGUUGCUCAAUUUGACAUGUUCAAUAUCGUAAUGACCUUAAAAGGAUUGUAUUUAAAGUUGAUGUAUCAUCUAAUAAAGGUGAAUCUUGUUAAAGACGCAUAGCAUAAGAAAACAAUCCAAUUACAUAAUUAUCAAACUCCAAGUCAACUUGCUAACUCAUCUAAGUUUAAGAGUCUACUCCUGGGUCAACUCGUGAACAAACUCGUUCUUUAGCAAACUCGAGAAUUAGUAGAAUCAGUCAAACCUUAUCUCAAGUUGAAUUUUAGAUUUAUUUUGUUUUAUACCUGUUUCCGUUUGUGUUUCAUUUAAGGUUUUCAUUUUCUUUCUCGCCAUCGCUCAAGGUCGCUCAUCGCCUCGUUGUUUCUCACCGUCAUGUAAUAGUCGCCUUGUUGUCAUUUCACAUCAGGUUGCCUUGCAUAGCACUGUCCUCGUGUUCUAGCUUCGUUUUCAGUUAGAUACUCUGGUUUUGGGUCGCAACUAGGUUUCACAAUUUGUUUAAGGUUAGGGUGAAUGGAGAAUUUGGGGCAAGGUUUGGAUUCACAAUUUUGUUUGGGUGAAUGGUGAAUGGUGAAUGGAGAACAAGAAAUGAGAAUGACAUGUGUGAUUUCGGGAUGAAGUUUCAUACAUAAAUUAAAAAUGCAAUUUGGGAGUUCCACAAGGAGGUUUCGCGAAUAAAGUAAUUUUUGUAUUUUUUUAGUGUGGUUGAAAAAUUAAGUUAAUAUAAUUACUUUUUUAAUGAAUGUGUUCAACAGACAAAGUUUACUGAUGAUGUCGGGAAAUGGUUGCAAUUUUAGGAGUGUGUGUUGGUACAUCUUUAUCACUACCACUUAGAAAUAAAAAUAAUAGAAUAGAUGUUGGAUGGAACCACAAAGAUAUGUUUUGGAUAACAAUAAAAAAGUGAGAUGUAACUAUUAUUCAAAAAGACAUUUAAUAAAGACAUUUUUUAGAUUCAAACAUCAUCUUGUUGGGACUAUAUAUGAUUCUAAGUCUUUGUUGGGACUAUAUAUGAUUCUAAGUCAUGUGUUUCAAUACCAAAAGAAGUUAAAGUCUUAAUAAACUUGGUGUAUGAACUUUUUUAUUUCAAUAAUGUGAAAUUGGUAUCAUGUGUAUCGAACAAGAUGUUUUGAUGUCUCUAAAUCCAUGAAAAAAGUUUAAGGACCUUGUUGCUGGAUGUAUGUAUUGUCUAGUAAUUUUUGACUUGUGAGAUUAUUUAAGUUCAUUUGAAUUUUUAUCUUUUUGAAAAAAUUUGAAUCUCUAUCCUUUACAAAUGGGUUUUCUAAAACACUAUAAAAUUUCAAAUUUAGUGAUUUUUAAAAUGGUUUUUUAUUUAACUAUUUUUUAUUCUUGAUUUAAUUGCUUUGACCACUUCUUGAGGUUAUAUAAAAACGGUUUAACACUUCAAUCUAAAAACUAAGAAAGAGAGAUUAUAAAAAACGAUUAAUCAGAAAACAUCUUAGGUAUAUAUAAAAAAGGAUGAUCAAUAUUGAUAGCUGAGAUUACACAGUGAAUGGAAAAUUUGACUAUGAUGAUGUAAUUAAGAUUUUAAUUUUGAUCUUUAUCUUAUCUUUAACUCCAAAUAUUGUACACAGUUCAAUGUUUAGUGAUCAAGUGAUUCAUAAAUAUAGUUAGCAAUAAUAUUGGAGAGUUAUCUCAUUCUCAUAAUUAGAGCUCUCAUAUUGGAUAUAGAACUAAAUAUAACACUCAUAUUGUACCUGGUUUUAUAUUAAUUUAAUUCUAAUACUCCACUUUAUUAAUUUAAUUCUUUGUCAAUAAAAACAAUAAAUAAAUAAAAUAUUGGAGAUAGAACUAAAUAUAGCACUCAUAUUGGAAGAUAGUUGAGAUCAUCUUCAGAUGAGGGUGGGUGAUAUUCAAACUAGAAGGAAGGUGUCCUAUACAAAUAGCUUUAUACUAGAAGGUAAUAUGAUAAGUAUGAGUGUAUAUUAAGUACUUGUUAGUGAUUACAAUAAAGUUCUAAUUUAUGAAUCAAAUAUUUAAUUAGUUAUCGAAGUGGAUAAAAGUAAACUAAUUGUAGAAAGUAAAACCUGAAUGAAUGUUAUAGAAUUUCUACAAUGAGAAUCUUUGUUAAGAAAGGACUUCUAGAUUAUUUUUCGAACCCGAUAUCGGUCCGGGCUUGCUUGAUUCGAUAUCGGUCUGGUCUGAACGACUAGACAUCGACCUGAGCCUGGACGACUUGACAUCGACCUGGACCUGGACGAUUUUACAUCGACCCAGACCCGCUUAACUCAACAUCAACUCGAGCUCGCUUGGCUCAAUAACGACCUGGGCCAGCUCGACUCAACAUCAUCCCUAGCCCGAUCAUCUAGAUAUCGAUCCAAGCCUGCUCGACUCAUUAUUGAACCCAAAAGACUCAGCUCGACAUUGUCCUGGACCGACUCGAUGAUAAGUGUCUAACUUCAGUAAUAUUUCAUAUUAAAAUAUACACACUUAUAAGGAUUUAUUGCUAAUAUACAUAUAAAAUAAUCCCUAAUUUAUGAAUUUAUACCUUUUUACAUUUUUUAUGAUCUUUAUUUGAAUAAGAGUAUUUUAUUCCCAAAUUUGGUGUUAAUUGCAGAUUUCUAAGGAAGAUUGGAGAUUUGGAUUAAAAAUGAAUGAUUUGAGCUAAAAAGAUAACGAUAGAAGGUCCCAGAAUGGUAAAAGAUGCAAAGAAAGAUUGAGUCUUUUUUAUGUUUUAUCAUUUAGCCCAUUAGCGCGACACAAUAAACAACAUAACCCUAGAAAACUAGGAUAAAUAGAGGGCUAGAGGCUCAACCUUAGUGUGCUAGAUUGAGAGGAAAACACCAUAGAGUGAAUUGUAACCCAAUUGGGAGAAUGGAAGGUACUAGAAGUAUGCGUAGCUAAUUCUACCCUUUGGGAUUGGGAGUAAUCUGCUCAAACUCUUAUGUAUUGAGGUGAUAUUUUAUAUAUUAAUAUUCAGUUCUUGGUUGAUUAUUGAUAUUGUUGUUUUACUUUUAACUUUCCGUGACAAAUUAAGAAUCUUAAAUCUGACCGGGAGGUAUUUUUAGGGUUCGGACCUAAACAAUAAUACUUAACAUAUUUGAGUGCUAGGAAUAGACUUGAAAUGUUAAUUGCUAUUAAACGUUUGAGUUUCGUUCUAAGUUGUUCUUAUAAUUAUGCGAGGGAUCGAUAGUUAGGAGACAUUCUUAAGGAUUUUAUAUGCGAAGAAUCGAUAUAAAUGAUUUUUAUACGGGCAUCAAUUUCAAUCAAAGAACUUAAUAUUAACAUGCUAAUCAAAAUACUUGAGAGUGAGAGAGAUGAAACUAAUCCUUAUUUUUUCAAUUGAAACAACUAAUUCUUUGUCUGUUUUCUUAUUGAUCAGUGCCAACACAAUUAAUUCAAAACUCUUUUAAUUGUUUCUGUUUUUAUAUUUAGCGAUUAUUGUACUGUUCCUUGUGGGAUCGAUAUCCGUCCUUAGGGACAAUUAUUACUUUUGACAAACGCGAUGCACUUGUCGUAAAAAGUCAUCAAGUUUUUGGCGCCGUUGCUAGGGAACAGGUUUGAUUUGUUGGGUCAACUCAAUAUCGACCACUCAACUCGACUCGACUUUGGCCCAAAAUGACUUGACUCGACUUUGACCCAUACAAACUCAAUUCGACUUGGACCCAGACGACUCAGCUCGACGUGGACUUUGGCCAACUUUGCUCAACCUAGGUCCAAAUUGUUUUGGCUCAAUCAGGAUCGGGGCCAAGUCAAAAUCCAACCAAAAUGUAAUUUGGAUAAUCCAAAAAUGUAUUCAAUCUAUAUCUAAUCCAUAUCCAAUUAAAUGGAUUGGAUUUAAAAUCCAAAAAUAUGGAUUUAGAUUUGAGAUAAAUCCAUUUAAAUGGAUUAAAACUAAUAUAGAUUUAAAUAAUUAUGGAUUGGAUUUUGUAAUUUGGAUUUUUUCUCCACCGUUAAUAAUCAAAUGAUCAUAUUUACAAAAAAAAAUAUUAUGUAAUUCAAUGCAAAAAUUAAAAACAGCAAUAAAAACUACAAGUAUACUCCUAGAAAACAUUUGACAAAGCAUCACAUAUUUCAAACUUGUACAUACAGUUGGUACAAUUUGUAAUCCAAAAAUCUCACGCCUACCCUGUCAAAACAACAAUUAAGGGAGAAGAUAGCUAGACUAAAACGAGCAUAUAUCAACACAGUGAUAUUUUUUCAAACUUGUACAUACUCCGAAUGAAAACUAAUAAAAGUUGGAACCUCAUAAGAAAUUAGGUUAUCAUGAACUCUCGUUUCAAGUUGAGCUAGCAUAUUCGUGCCGAAACUAGCGCUUAAACAAAUCCUAUUUCAAAAGGAUUGUUGUUAACAAAGGAUGGAUUUACUUGUUGUUAACAAAAUCAUAUAAAAAAACUACUAUAGACUAGUAAAGGGUAACUACAAUGAUCAUAAUGUUCGGAAUCAACUAUCUCACUUGCUUAGACACACACAACUACUGUCACAUGUGCCUUCCCACUAUUCAACCAAUAAGAGAUACCAUAACCAAAUCAAGGAUAUAAAAAAAAUAAUGAAUGGAAAUGUAAGUCCAAUAAUGUACCGUAACUGGGUAACAAACAUCCAUAAAGUCUUCACUGCAACAGAUUAUCAAAUCAUCAGGAUCGAAGGCCUAACAACACAAAUGCCAAAGCCUCUCAAACUCAUAUAGUGCCUGUUUACAAGAACUCCCAAUCCACAAGUUUAGCCAUCAAAGAAAAUAAUGAAUAUGCAAAGAUAAUAAAAUCUAAAGUUUCACCAGAUCUCCAUCCACUGUUUCCAAAACCUGCCCCCACAUAUCUAUUGCCUUACUGUAAAAGUUUAAGAAGCCUGGCAAUUCAAGAAAACCAAGUUCAGAAUGGCAAAAUCAGCAAGACUGAGAAAUAUAGUCGGCAAAAAGAUGGUGUCUGCUUCCACAUGGUAUCAUAAAUUGAGACCCCAACCCGAAAGAAAUAUAUACAGCUCUCAUGUUGGAAUAGAGAGGCAUCAUCCGUUACCAUAGCCUCGAGGCGUUGCUCAUAGCACACGAAGAUUACAAAGAGAACAAUCCAAAUACUUUUGUUUCUCUUCUUUAUCGUAUUAGAGAUAAAACUAAAUAGAACUCUCAUGAACUUUUGUUUCUCAUUCUCAUAUUGGAGAUAGAACCAAAUGGAGCUCUCAUAUACUGUUGUUUCUCAUCUUCUCAUUAUUGAGGACAGAACCGAAUCAUAGCGCAAGAAGAUUACGACAAAACUUUCCAAAUAUUGUUGUUUCUCAUUUUCUCAUUCGCAUAUUGGGAGAGAACAAAAUCAUAGUGCAAGAAGAUUACGACAAAACAUUCCAAAUAAUCUUGUUUCUCUUUCUCAUUUUCUUAUUCUCAUAUAUGGAGAACUGAAUCAUAGCACAGGAAGAUUGCAAGAAAACAUUCCAAUUACUGUUGUUUCUCAUUCUCAAAUUAGAGAGAUAAAUGGAAAUAAAACUAAAUAGAGCUCUCAAUUUUCUCAUUCUCACAUUGGAGAUAGAACUAAAUACAACUCUAAUGUUGGAGAUCAUUCACAUUUUGGAAGAUAGAAGAGAUCAUCAUAUGUCAUAUUCAGAAUGUAAUCCAAAACUACUAAAAACAAUAGAAUGCAAGACUCUUGAUAAUUUAGUAAAUCAAGUAAUAACUAAGAAAAUGACCUUUCAAAUUUGCUACACCUAAGCAAAUCCAAAAUUAAUUCAGUACUAUAAAACUAAAAAUCAAUAAUUCUGUACUUAAUUUCAAUUGCACCAUGUAAAAGGGUCAAAUUUCACUAUGAAUCCAGGACUCGUAAAAGCUAUGAGAAGCCUAAAUUACUUAAAAAUGGACAACUAAAAAAAAAGAGUAAAAAUUGCGAAAAAAAUGCAUAUGGGGUAAUAGAGAAAGAAGCAAGAGUUCACUGACAAGUGGCAUGGCUGAACAGGACAAGAAACAUAAACUUUUAAUGGCCAUGAUAUAUUUUAUUUAUCUUUCUUUCACUAUUAAUUCAGUACUUCAUAUUAAGAAGUUAGAAAUUUUGCCAGACAAAUCCUCCCCAAAUUACACAACCUCUAAACCCACAAGAACUGCCAGAGACCAGUCAAACUACAAGGUUAGCAAUGAAUCCAACCAAAACUUAGAAUCCAAACAAGAAGUCAGUCACAAAUAAAGACACAAGAAAUGUAAGGGUAACAAAACCUAAAGCUUCACAAAUCCCCUGGCAAGUGUUUCCACAUCCUACCUCAUAUCAGUCUGGAAAAAUAUGCUCAAUCUACGAAGUUUCAAAUAAAGGAGAGACAUCUUACUGAGCAUUUUAUUAUUACUAACCUAUGAUUUUCUGAAAAAGAAUCAACAUAUUCACAGAUCAAACAGCUAGAUUUGACAUAUUUCAAUAAUCAGACAAUAUUCAAAUUUAUGAUUAAAAUUUAAUCCUCAACCAGAAUCCCUGCUGAAAAGGAACUAACACAAAUUUACAUAUGAUAGACUCUGUCAUCAAAUAAAUAACUACAUCCAAACUCAAGUAGGCAUCUGUCAUCAAAGAGUAUGGACAAACCUACAGAAUCAAGCAUCUCCUUCCAGUAUUUAGAUAUCCUACCUCACAUCCGUUGCUUUUUUUCGUGUACACAGUACACUAGCAGAUUUUAAUCCUCAACCAGUCUUACAUGCUAAAAAGGAAUUAAGGAUACUCACAUCUGUCCUACCUAACAUCUGUUGCAUGUUUGUCCUGUACUCCCCAAGAAUUCAGGAAGGCUACAACGGCUCAUAAAGUUGAAGUAUAGAGACAAUAAGACAUUCAAAACAUGCAACAGAUGUUAGGUGGUCCUUUGGACAGGUUGUGUAUGGUGCAAGGUGAUGAAUUUGUGCUGAAUUAUGAUCUGCAACUUUAACCCAAAGUUGUGUGACCCUUAAGUCAAUUCUAUUGGGAGGCUGAUAUUACUCUGGUGGGAAGUACGGGCCAAUCUCGUAACAAUAAGCGGAGUCUCUAGUAGACUUAGGCAGGGUAUUAUGGGACUGUAACAGAGGUCAUGCAAUCAAGGAGCAACAGCUACAAGGUGCUGUACUGUGGCAAUAAAAGAAGUGUUAUAGGGGAGGAUGGAGCGCGGAACAAGGCAUCUAGCAAGGAACGAGUGUCAAACCCCUGUAUUGAGCAUGGUGGUUGGGUGCUGAGGAGUUCGGUGUGCAGAUGCUGUCAUGUGCAACACUCUGCUGCUUGGUAUGCUGGAAUUGGAUGUGGGGAUGUGCUUAUUUCACUCCAUUCAGAUUUGAAGCCACUGUUUUUGUGCUUUUCUGAGUGCUAGUGGUUCUGAUUGACCUAAGGCAUGUGCUGGUUUCUAGUAGCCUGCAGGUUGUUUUACUGCAUCAAUGAUUGUGUGAGUCUAGUAGGUGCUCUAUGGUGAUCAAGAACCAAAAGCUUCUGUUGUAUGGAGUUCUUGACUAUUGUAUACGGGUUGGGACACCCCAGAAGUGUCCCAUUUUAAUUUUAUUUAUUCUUUGCUGAUUAAAAAAAAAAGACAUUCAAAACAAAGAGAGACAUCAUAAAAACAAAUGACAAUUCAAUCCUUAUGCUUCGUGAUCAAAUCUCAAGAAAUCAAAUAGAAAGGAAACUCAUGAAAUUAGGUUAUCCUGAAUUAUUGGUCGUUCUAAACACUUCCAGAUUUUAAUCCUCAACCAUUCUUGAGGUCUCCACAUGCUAAAAAGGAAUGAACACAAACAAAUCAACACCUAAAACGGAAUGAAAACAAGCAAAUCAACAUCUAGACGUAGCAAAAAAGGCUCCAUACAUUUAAAAAAAAGAAAGUUGUUUAAUAGCAAGUCGAAGGGAUGAGACCAAGCCUAUGAGAAACACAAAUAACUAGGAAAUGAUGAAAAUGAAAGAAAAAAAAUAAAACAUUAACAUUUAGUGGGGAUUUCAUCUUAAAAGAGUAGACUCCAUACAUUUAAAAGGAAGAAGGUUAUUACCGGACAAAAUCAUUAUUAGACUUAAUUAGACUUAAUUACAGGAAUAUAAUCACUAUUAAUGAGUCUAUAAUUAGACUUAAUUAUAGGAAUAUAAUCACUAUUAAUGGGUCUAUAAUUAGUCUUAAUUACAGAUGUUAUGUUAGAAAAAGAAUCUGUACGGUUCUAAUGCUAUGGUUAUAUAUAUGUAUCAUUGCUAUAGAUGAGAGGCAGAUUGAAUAAAACAUAAAAUAUUCUUUCAUGGUAUCAGAGCACAAAACUCUGAUACCCGACAAACACAAAGCAAAGGCAACGGUGUACAACCAUGGCAGCUGCACCAGAAAAGAAUAAUGCCAACAAAGCAGAGCACGAAGGAGGAGGUGCUAAGAAGACCUACUCGCCAUAUGAUCUCAACGCGAGUGACAAUCCCGGAAACAUAAUCACGCAAGUCCAAUUGCGCGGAGAAAAUUACGACGAAUGGGCAAGAACAGUAAAGAUCUCGCUUCGUGCCCGGAGAAAAUGGGGCUUCAUUGAUGGAACACAUAUCCAACCAGAGGAUGAGGCACCCGACCUUGAAGAUUGGUGGACCGUGCAGUCCAUGAUUGUCUCUUGGAUUCUAAACACCAUUGAACCAAGCUUACGAUCCACAGUAGCAUAUGCUGAGACUGCACAUAACUUAUGGGAAGACAUUAAAGAAAGAUUCUCGGUCGUGAAUGGACCUAGAAUUCAACAACUAAGGUCGGACUUGUCAAGAUGCAAGCAGGAGGGAAUGNNNNNNNNNNNNNNNNNNNNNNNNNNNNNNNNNNNNNNNNNNNNNNNNNNNNNNNNNNNNNNNNNNNNNNNNNNNNNNNNNNNNNNNNNNNNNNNNNNNNGAUUGGUGCUCAGUUGGAAAAACGAAGGGAGGAGGAGAAGGUUCAUCAACUCCUUAUGGGGUUGGAUGACGCAAGCUACGGGACAGUAAGAUCAAACAUUCUGGCCUCAGACCCAUUGUCGUCUCUGAACUGCGUAUAUGCUAUGUUGGUACAAGAAGAAAGAGUGAAAAUGAUGGCCAAAACAACGGAAGAAAGGGGGUUGGUCGUGGGUCUCGCGAUGCAGGCCAACUACAAAGAAAAAGGGCGUGGAGAUAUGGUAGAAAAAUUAAUGACGUGCAGUCAUUGCGGUAAAAAUGGUCACGACAUGAAGGGAUGCUUCCAAUUGAUCGGAUAUCCCGAAUGGUGGGGUGACAGACCUAAAAGNNNNNNNNNNNNNNNNNNNNNNNNNNNNNNNNNNNNNNNNNNNNNNNNNNNNNNNNNNNNNNNNNNNNNNNNNNNNNNNNNNNNNNNNNNNNNNNNNNNNNNNNNNNNNNNNNNNNNNNNNNNNNNNNNNNNNNNNNNNNNNNNNNNNNNNNNNNNNNNNNNNNNNNNNNNNNNNAAACAAAAAUCAAAUGAAUCAGAGAAAAUGACUGGUAAGAGCAUUUGGGAUUUGUGGAUUAUUGAUAGUGGGGCAUCAAACCAUAUGACCGGGUCACUGGAAAAUUUGAGUGAAAAGGAAACUAUACAAGGGUGCCCCGUGGGGUUACCCGAUGGUGAACGCGUUCUAGCUUGCGAACAGGGAACAGUGACUCUUGAAGAAGGACUUGAAUUGAAAAAUGUCCUUUAUGUUCCCAAAUUAAAAUGCAAUUUACUUUCAGUACCUCAAUUGACGGAUGAAGAAAAUUGUGUUGUAACAUUCACUGAUAAAUUGUGUAUUAUACAGGACCGCACUUCGAGGACGCUGAUUGGAGCAGGUGAACGGAAAGAUGGGCUUUAUUGGUAUCGUGGGGUACGAAAGACUCAAGCAUGUCAUGUCAAGAUGGAAAAUCAACUAGCACUUUGGCACCAAAGAUUAGGACAUCCGUCAUUUAAGAUUGUGCAAAUGCUUCCUGAUAUAAGUGGGAAAUGUACUCGUGAUGAGUUGAAUAAAGUUUGUGAAGUUUGUGAAAAAUCGAAACAAACGAGAGAUAAGUUUUUUUAAGUGCGCAUCAAACUUGAAAAUUUUUGAUUUAAUUCAUUGUGACUUAUGGGGUCCUUAUAAAACUCCUUCAUCCUGUGGUGCUUCAUAUUUUUUGACAAUUGUGGAUGAUUGUUCACGAGCAGUUUGGAUCUAUUUGUUAAAAGAAAAAACAGAGGUAUCAGUGACUUUGAAAAUUUUUUUCACACUCGUUGAGAGGCAAUACAACAAAUGUGUUAAAAUGGUUCGCUCUGACAAUGGAACUGAAUUCAUGUGUCUAAGACAAUAUUUCAUUCAACAAGGUAUCCUUCACCAAACUUCCUGUGUCGGGACCCCGCGACAAAAUGGACGCGUCGAACGCAAGCAUUGGCAUAUUCUGAAUGUUGCUCGGUCAUUACGGUUUCAAGGCAAUCUUCCCAUUAAAUUUUGGGGGAAUGCGUUUUGACUGCAGGCUACUUAAUCAAUCUCACACCAUCCUCCAUUCUAAAAGGAAAACCCCCUUAUGAAGUGAUCCAUGGAUGUGUACCCAGUUACGCGCACUUACGAGUAUUUGGUUCAUUGUGUUAUGCUCAUAAUCAAAAUAGACAGCGGGAUAAAUUUGAUAGUCGUAGCCGAAAAUGUGUGUUUGUCGGGUAUCCAUUUGGCCAAAAAGGAUGGAAAUUAUUUGAUUUGGAAACAGAAACUUUCUUUGUCUCUCGUGAUGUACAUUUUUUCGAAAAUAAAUUUCCAUAUUUUGAAGCCAAAAAGAUGGACACUGCACCACCAUUGCAAAACCCAAUUAUUGCCAACUCUUUAGAAACUGGAACGGACCCACAUUUUCUUCAUGAAGUUGCCUCCUCAAACCUAGAUGAAUGCAUCGUCAACCAACCCAUUGCAUCUCCCAUCCCAGCCAAGGAGGAUGCUACCCUCACAGAUGACUUUGACCACACUAUCAACGACUCCGAUUCGUGCAUAGAAGCCUCGACGCUACCCGCGGAUCCACCGCCGCGUCCGACGGAGACGGCGCCGUCGGUUUCUUCACCACCGUUGACGGCCGUGGUUCCCCUUGGGCGAGGGCAUCGCGCGAAGCUGCCUUCCGUACGGUUACGCGAUUUUGUCGCAGCCACCACGAUACCGUCAAGCCCCUCUGUUCUGUCACCUCCUUCAACAGAAUCCUCAGGUGUUUCGUAUGCUAUACAUGAUUUUGUGAAUUGUGAUUCCUUUUCUAAACAUCAUCAAAGUUUUCUUGCCUCUUUACACACCGAGCAGGAACCCCUGUUCUUUUCUCAAGCGGUCCGAGAACCCCGGUGGCGUGAUGCUAUGGCACAGGAGAUUCAUGCUCUCAAACGACUUAGAUAUCAUUACUGAAGUCGUUUACAGUGCCUGUCAUAAACAGGUAAGCAUUCCCAGUCCACAAGUUUAUCCGUGAAUAAUAGCAGCAAAGAAAAUAAUAAACACAGAAUAAAACCUACAACACCAAUUCAUUUUCUCCCAUGAUGAAUUAUGCAAGAACAAGUUCAAAAAUUCAUUUGUCGAUGCAGGAAACAAACAAAAUAAAAAGUUCUUGAAUCAAAGAAUGGAGGCAAAUAAUCCUGAGCUCUUGCUAAUUACACUACUAAAAUGAAAGGAAUAACUUCAAGAUCCAUAUUUUCAAUACUGCUCCACCUAAGAAAUUUUUUUUUUUUUUUCAGAACUUCAAUACAAAAGAUGAAUAAUCUUGAAACACAAAUUAGGCAAGGACAUUGAUGCUUUGCAAGAACCAAAUUCAAAAUUCAUUUGUCAAUGAAGGAAACUAUUAAAGACAAAAUAAAGUUGUUCUAAAAAAAUUGAAACCAAAUAGUUCUGAGCUCUUGCUAAUUACCACACAUCCCAGUAAAAAAAAAUAAUUCAUCAAAACUAUAACUAGUAAUAAAGGACUAUUAGAUAAAUUAAAAAAUUAAGAGAGACACGGUCACUCAUAACAUACCUCAUGAGAUGCAGUACGGUAAGUGAUUUUCACACUACAGAGAAGCAAAUUACAAUUCAACUAUUAUGCCGCAUAACAUACUCCAUGAGAUGCAGGACAUUAAACAAUUCAAAAUUAAAUCCUUAUGUUUACUGCAUAAGAACAAUCACUAUUUAAUGUUCAGUGAUCAAGUAUAGAGAAAUUAGAAUAUCCAGAUCUACAACCAUUCUUGUUCCUAAACUGCCAAAAGAAAUCUCAGAGACUCAUGGCUUGCCGAAAAGGAAUGAACACGAAUACCAAAUUUUAUUGAAGGAAACGAAAAACCUGAACAGUCCAAAAAUUGAAGGAAACAAUGACCGCUCUUAUUAAGAGAAAGUAUAGAAACUUGAUAAGACGAAUAUACCCAACUAAUCAAAACACCACUGCAGAUAAACACAUCAUACUUCAAUCCUUAUGUUCGGUCAUCAAUACCAGAAAAAAAAUAAUAAAAGGAAAACUCAAAAAGGACUUCCGUUAUGCUAAGCCCUUGGCUGAUGGACUUUUCAUAUCAUCCAUCGGCAAAAGAAUAUCACUGAACCAACCAUAAGCUGAAAAGGUGCAAAGAAAUUUAAGCGAAAGGUUAAAAACUCGUCAUCAUCAACUAGAGAAUUCAUGUAAAUGAAUAUACUAAUUAUUCUUGAGUAAAAGCACAUUGAUCCAUAAUUUACAAUUGUGAGCGAGUUAUAACCUCCCACAGAGCAACCCAGGAACCUUUCUCUUAGAGGGCUUUUAAGAUUUGUCAUACAACAAUAUGAUAAAUGAGUGUAUACAAAGCAAUUAAUUAAUGAUUACCAUAACACAAUAUUUUAUAAAAUAGAAUCACAAUCAACAUUAAAAGAAAUCAUUCACAUCAUCAACAUUCUAAUGAAAAAAAAUAUUUAAUUAACAAUCAUAGGCAAUAAAAAAAACUAAACUAAAUUGUCAAAGCAAAAUACAACUACUAUAAAAGUAAAAAAGAAAAAUAUUAGAGAAUCAUUGGCCAACAAAGGACUUCUAGAUUAUUUUUCCAACAACAAUAACUAUUAAAGGUAAUAUAACAACCAUGAAUAAUUAAAUAACUACCAAGAAUAAUUUUAUAAUCAAAUGAUCACAUUAAUAAAGCAAUUAAGUAAUUCAAUGAAAGAUAUAUAUACCUAGAAUAUCUGACAAACACAUAAUCUAUUUCAAACCUGUACACACAUUGUUUGUAGUUGGACAAUUCCUAAUCCAAAAACCCAAACUCUACCCAAACCCUACCCUGUCAAAACAACAACCAAGAAUUCAGGGGAAAUCAUAAGAGAUCAUGAAAUCAUGUUGUUGGUACUUGAACAAUUACAAAUCGAAAACCUUCUCUGUCAAAACAAUAGAUCCAAAAAAAAUAUCUUUUGAUGAUAGUAAAAAUACUAAAGGCUUUUAAAGAGAAGUCCACAUUUCUAGAAUGAGCUCUUACUGGAUCAAAUGAAUAAAAAAUAAUGUUAGCCCUCUAAUCUUCUGCAAAAAUGAAUGGAGAAUUGAUCCCUUUUGCAAAUAAAUAAACUUGAACAAUUCACAGUGCAACACACAGUUAUGAUAAUAGGUAUCACCUUUGAAACUACUGAUCCUCUGAAACACUUACCAAGAGCCAUAAAACCUUCCAGACAACAUGAUCCAUUAGACGUAGCAUGAAACAUAAUGCAAACAUCACUGCAGAGAAACAAAUGGCAACGGAAAAUCCUUAUAUUUGGUGAUCAAAUCUGAAAAUAUCAAAUAGAGAGGAAAUCCUAAACCAAAUUUUUUAUUUUGAUAGAUCUUUGUCAUCACAUAAUAAACUGCAUUCAAAUAGCUAGUCACGAAUUAACACAAACUAAGGCUUCAAUUGAUCCCCAUGUUUCUACAUGUCCUCACACAUCCAUUGCUUGUCUUACCUGUAAAGAGCAAAAAUUCAAGAAAACUAAAAACACUUGUUCCAGGGGAGGAAUUUUAGAAAAUAUUAGACGAAUUCUUAAACUCAGAAACCAACUCAUUAAAGGCUCGAUGAGAUCCAAACAUUGUUUGAAUACAAUCAUAAACCACUGUAGAAAAACAAAUCACAAUUCAAUCCUAAUAUUGGUAAUCAAGUCCUUAGAAGUUAAAUAAAAGGUGAAACCUCAUAUAGAAGAAAUUAGGCUAUUAUGAGUUGUUGUGCUCAAACAAAUCCUAUUCCAAAAAGCAUUGUUGCUAAAAAAACCCAAAUAAAACUGGAUAUACUUGUACAUCGUAUAAAAAAACUACCAUGCAAUAUUAAAGAGACUCUCUAAAUUUCAGAGAAACAAAGUUGUCUCAUACUACUCAAACUAUAGAAACUUAAUGCCUUGAGAUUGGUUCAGUUUUUGAAAUGCAAACAAGGAAAUCCAAUACUGCCGACAAAACAGACAUUACUGAAAAUUGAAACCAAACCAAAACCCACAGAAGAAGAUAGCAAGUCGAGAAUGAUCAGAUAAAACCAAGGAAGCCGUAGUCUCCUAAUAAUAAGUUUAUGACACAAAAUUUCCAAAAACAUCCUUGCAUACAAACUUAAGAUCGGUCAUAGUUCUGUAUGCUGAAAAGGGAUUAAUGCAACACCUGGAUUGGGUAGAGAAAUAGAAUAACAAAGAAAAUUACUUUAUCAAGAGUUGUUCGUCGUUCUGCCUGGAAUUAACAAAUUCACCUCCAAAGCAUCAGAAAUUAACAAAUUCACCUCCAAAACUUCAUUAUCUUUCUCGCAUACAAUUCCUGACCAAAUAGAACAAAUAUGAAACAUUCACCUCCAAAACUCCAUUAUCUUUCUCGCAUACAAUUCCUGUCCAAAUAGAACAAAUAAGAAAAAAAUGAACGGUUUGGAUAACUAAUAAAAGAAGUCCAAUUAUCUAAUGUCAGGCAUAACGUUGGACUUUCAAGUCCAAGUGGUUACAUAAAUAUUUUGAAAACACUCAACUCAAUAAACAAUAAAGGAAAAAUAGAAAAAAAAUCUAUAACUGGUUGAUUAGACAUGUUAAUCGUCCCACUAUAUUCCAUCACUAGCUGAGUUAAUAAACGGAAAGGGAAACCUCAAAUAAAGACUCAAUGUGUUGCAAACAAAUAAAUGCAAAUUUAAAAAAUCAAGGAACGAGAAACACAUAUGGAGAUUGUUGAAACAAAAGUGAAGCAUUUAAACAAUUUCAAUUUCAGGAUCAUUCUUAUACUAAUUUCAAAAAUUUCAGCGUAAGAGACAUUGAUGUCACUCAUAGUAAGAGUCAUUAUUGUCUAGGCUCACAAGAGAUUACAUGCAAAAUUUCCAAACAAGUUCACAACUCAACCCAUAUGUUUGGGAUCAAGAAUAAUGAAUCAAAGGGUUAUGGAAAACUAUUAAAAGAACAAAAGACCUAUAUUAUAGAAUUAUGCAGAGAAGUCAUCAAAAUGAAAUAGUAGAACUUGUUUCAUAAUCAAGAGAAUUAUGUUAUAAUUAAGUGCAUAUUCCAUUUUAUAUUUAUUAGGACAAAUUUGUUAGUGAUUUGAUUUUAUUCCAUUAUUUUUUACUUAUUUGUAAGAUAUCUCAGAAAUAUAUUUCAUCUAUUUCUUUCCACUUGGUAUCAGAGCUCCUGAUCUGGGAGACUCUGCUUCUGCAAUUUUUAUUUUUUUUAGCAGCCUUCAUUGCUGUAAUCAUUUUCCUUGACAGCCUUCAAUACUGUAAUAUUUUCCUUGACAGCCUUCAUUGCUAUAAUCAUUUUCCUUGGCAGCCUUCAUUGCUGCAAUUUUUAUUUUUUUUAAAGAGCCUUGAUUGCUGCAACUUUCUAUUUUCCUUAUCUUUUCUCCAUUGACCACCACCACCACCAUUGACCGCCGCCGACCACCACCUCCGUCGCUUGCCGGAAACUGCACCGCUCGCCGGAACUGCCACUACUCGCUGGAAACUGCCGCCGGCCACCGGAAACCGCUACCGGAAAAUUUUUUCGGCAGAUUUUUUUUGUGAACAAGAUCAAAUUUUGCCAAUCUGAAAAACUCAGUUGGUUUUGAGCUCUCAUGGACUCCCUUAGUAAGCCAUCUAGCUAUUGUUCCUUUACUAUGAGUGGUAAGAGUUCUGGUUUUUUAUCCUUUAAUGCUACUGAAAAUAUCUGGAUUAUAGACUCUGGUGCUACUGAUCAUAUGACCCCUCAUUCCUCUUCUUUUUCAUCCUACACUGCUUCAUCUGGUAACCCAUAUAUUACUGUUGCUAUCCACUACCCCCAUUAAUGGUCGUGGUAACAUUCACCUUCAACCUUCAUUUCCUUUAAAAAAUGUGCUUCAUGUUCCCAAACUAUCCAAUAACCUCUUGUCUAUUCAAAAGAUUACCCAAAAUUUAAAUUGUGCAGUGGUAUUUUUCCCUUCCCAUUGUGUUUUUCAGGAUCUUGCCACGGAGAAGACUAUUGGAAUUGCUAAAGAGCAAGGCAGGUUAUAUUAUUUACAGCAUGAAGAAAGUAAAAAGUGUGCUAGACUACAGGCACACACUUCUAAUCUUCAGCAAGGUCGUGAAUCUUGGUCAUCCUCUCAGAUAUGGCUUCAACACAGACGUCUUGGUCAUCCUCCAUUUAGUACCCUAAAGUCCUUAUUUCAUGUUUUAUUUACAAAAAGUGUCUGCUGAGUCAUUUCAUUGUGAUGUUUGUCAGUUUGCUAAACACCAUCGGACAAUUUUUCCUCCCAAUGGUAAUAAAAGUUCUAAACCUUUUGAUCUUAUUCAUUCAUAUGUAUGGGGACCUUCACCUAUUCCUAAUAUCUCGAGUGCAAAAUGGUUUGUUU
This 43275-nucleotide long non-coding RNA is filed under the name Phaseolus vulgaris (common bean). RNAcentral describes it as "long non-coding RNA (PVUL_LNC004121)". Lineage: Eukaryota; Viridiplantae; Streptophyta; Magnoliopsida; Fabales; Fabaceae. The record is from RNAcentral.